This 507-nucleotide ribosomal RNA is filed under the name uncultured bacterium. RNAcentral's name for it is "bacterial SSU rRNA". It matches the Rfam family "Bacterial small subunit ribosomal RNA", at positions 9 to 508 of the family's 1533-position model. The record is from RNAcentral.
GAGUUUGAUCGUGGCUCAGAUUGAACGCUGGCGGCAGGCCUAACACAUGCAAGUCGGGCGGUAGAGAGAAGCUUGCUUCUCUUGAGAGCGGCGGACGGGUGAGUAAUGCCUAGGAAUCUGCCUGGUAGUGGGGGAUAACGCUCGGAAACGGACGCUAAUACCGCAUACGUCCUACGGGAGAAAGCAGGGGACCUUCGGGCCUUGCGCUAUCAGAUGAGCCUAGGUCGGAUUAGCUAGUUGGUGAGGUAAUGGCUCACCAAGGCGACGAUCCGUAACUGGUCUGAGAGGAUGAUCAGUCACACUGGAACUGAGACACGGUCCAGACUCCUACGGGAGGCAGCAGUGGGGAAUAUUGGACAAUGGGCGAAAGCCUGAUCCAGCCAUGCCGCGUGUGUGAAGAAGGUACUUCGGAUUGUAAAGCACUUUAAGUUGGGAGGAAGGGCAGUAAAUUAAUAACUUUGUCUGUUUUGACGUUACCGACAGAAUAAGCACCGGCUAACUCUGUGA